Molecule: ribosomal RNA, 492 nt
Filed under: uncultured bacterium
Lineage: Bacteria
Description: partial 16S ribosomal RNA
Rfam family: Bacterial small subunit ribosomal RNA
Source: RNAcentral
AGUGAACGCUGGCGGCAGGCCUAACACAUGCAAGUCGAACGACAGCACAGUAAGAUCUUGCCUUUACGGUUGGCGACUGGCGGACGGGUGACGAAUACAUCAGCUUCUUCUUUUUCGUGGGUGAUAACGUAGGGACACUUAUGCUACUACCGCAUAUGUCCUACGGCUGGAAUCAGUGGUUCUUCAGACCUUGCCUGACUCUAUUAGCUGAUGUCGGAUUAGCUAGUUGGCUGGGUAAAGGCCCACCAAGGCAACGAUCCGUAGCUGGUCUGAGAGGAUGAUCGGCCACACUGGAACUGAGACACGGUCCAGACUCCUACGGGAGGCAGCAGUAGGGAAUCUUGGGCAAUGGGCGCAAGCCUGACGGAGCAAUGCCGCGUGGGUGAAGAAGGCCUUCGGGUUGUAAAGCCCUGUUAUUGGGAAAGAAAAGCCGCAGAUGAAUCCCCCGAUGUUUUGACGGUACCUAAAGAGAAAGCACCGGCUAACUUCGUG